GAACCGCGAUAGGUAGUGUGAAUUGCAGAACCCAGUGAACCAUCGAAUUUUUGAACGCACAUUGCGGCCGCCGGCAUCCCGGCGGCCAUGCCUGCCCGAGCGCCACAACAACCCUCGGGGCCCCUGCCCUCCUGGCGAGGCCCCGGCGCUGGGAGGCCCCGUCUCGUUAUGACGGACGGCUCCUUAAAGCUAGCGGCGACGCUGCUAGCAGCUUCUUGCGUUAAGUAGGCACUAGCUAGCGCGAGAACCUGGCAGCGCCCGUCCGUGGGAACUACUAGACCACCUUUAGGCUGGCCUCGGGUCAGGCAGGACUACCCGCUGAACUUAA
This 328-nucleotide unclassified non-coding RNA is filed under the name uncultured Ascomycota. Its description in RNAcentral is "sequence contains ITS1". The stretch from base 1 to 105 matches the Rfam family "5.8S ribosomal RNA", at positions 50 to 154 of the family's 154-position model. The record is from RNAcentral. Lineage: Eukaryota; Fungi; Ascomycota.